AGAGUUUGAUCCUGGCUCAGAUUGAACGCUGGCGGCAUGCCUUACACAUGCAAGUCGAACGGCAGCACGGGUGCUUGCACCUGGUGGCGAGUGGCGAACGGGUGAGUAAUAUAUCGGAACGUACCUUAUCGUGGGGGAUAACGCAGCGAAAGCUGCGCUAAUACCGCAUACGCCCUGAGGGGGAAAGCGGGGGACCGUAAGGCCUCGCGCGAUUAGAGCGGCCGAUAUCUGAUUAGCUUGUUGGUGGGGUAAAAGCCCACCAAGGCGACGAUCAGUAGCUGGUCUGAGAGGACGAUCAGCCACACUGGGACUGAGACACGGCCCAGACUCCUACGGGAGGCAGCAGUGGGGAAUUUUGGACAAUGGGGGCAACCCUGAUCCAGCAAUGCCGCGUGAGUGAAGAAGGCCUUCGGGUUGUAAAGCUCUUUUGUCAGGGAAGAAACAGCAGCUCUAACACAGUCUGCGAAUGACGGUACCUGAAGAAUAAGCACCGGCUAACUACGUGCCAGCAGCCGCGGUAAUACGUANGGUGCAAGCGUUAAUCGGAAUUACUGGGCGUAAAGCGUGC
This 568-nucleotide ribosomal RNA is filed under the name uncultured freshwater bacterium. Its description in RNAcentral is "bacterial SSU rRNA". It matches the Rfam family "Bacterial small subunit ribosomal RNA", at positions 8 to 570 of the family's 1533-position model. The record is from RNAcentral.